Molecule: ribosomal RNA, 895 nt
Filed under: Hypomyces rosellus
Lineage: Eukaryota; Fungi; Ascomycota; Sordariomycetes; Hypocreales; Hypocreaceae
Description: LSU rRNA
Rfam family: Eukaryotic large subunit ribosomal RNA
Source: RNAcentral
GCAUAUCAAUAAGCGGAGGAAAAGAAACCAACAGGGAUUGCCCCAGUAACGGCGAGUGAAGCGGCAACAGCUCAAAUUUGAAAUCUGGCCCCUCGGGCCCGAGUUGUAAUUUGUAGAGGAUGCUUUUGGCAAGGUGCCGCCCGAGUUCCCUGGAACGGGACGCCGCAGAGGGUGAGAGCCCCGUCUGGCUGGCCACCGAGCCUCUGUAAAGCUCCUUCGACGAGUCGAGUAGUUUGGGAAUGCUGCUCAAAAUGGGAGGUAUAUGUCUUCUAAAGCUAAAUAUUGGCCAGAGACCGAUAGCGCACAAGUAGAGUGAUCGAAAGAUGAAAAGCACUUUGAAAAGAGGGUUAAACAGUACGUGAAAUUGUUGAAAGGGAAGCGCUCAUGACCAGACUUGGGCUUGGCGAAUCAUCCGGCGUUCUCGCCGGUGCACUUCGCCUCGCUCAGGCCAGCAUCAGUUCGCGCCGGGGGACAAAAGCUUCGGGAAUGUGGCUCCUCCGGGAGUGUUAUAGCCCGUUGCAUAAUACCCUGGUGCGGACUGAGGUUCGCGCAUCUGCAAGGAUGCUGGCGUAAUGGUCAUCAGCGACCCGUCUUGAAACACGGACCAAGGAGUCGUCUUCGUAUGCGAGUGUUCGGGUGUCAAACCCCUACGCGUAAUGAAAGUGAACGCAGGUGAGAGCUUCGGCGCAUCAUCGACCGAUCCUGAUGUUCUCGGAUGGAUUUGAGUAAGAGCAUACGGGGCCGGACCCGAAAGAAGGUGAACUAUGCCUGUAUAGGGUGAAGCCAGAGGAAACUCUGGUGGAGGCUCGCAGCGGUUCUGACGUGCAAAUCGAUCGUCAAAUAUGGGCAUGGGGGGCGAAAGACUAAUCGAACCUUCUAGUAGCUGGUUUCCGUG